This is a long non-coding RNA of Biomphalaria glabrata, 980 nucleotides long. RefSeq lists it as uncharacterized. The record is from RefSeq and is a predicted model, not a curated record. The transcript is spliced from 6 exons. Lineage: Eukaryota; Metazoa; Mollusca; Gastropoda; Planorbidae.
GGGGGGGGGGGGGGGCGAAAGAAAGACUGUGCCGCUGGUCAAUGUGUAGGCUACCCGGUCACGUGGCUUACUUACAAUUGACCAACCAGAGACAGGUCUACAUGAUAGGCUACAGCCUAUUGCAUCAUUAAGAAAAAUAGCGCCAGAACCAAACACCAUGACCAUCCCAUUCCAGUCAUAGUACUCAUAGAUCUACUUCAAGAUUGUGUUGAUUUGUGAUUAACUCGACUCUAUUCUAACAACUUUGGAAUGUGUGCGUCAAGCAAAGACUCUCGGAACCAAAGAGUGAAAGAAUGAUGGCAUCACUAUGAUCACUUCUUGCUGGAUCUGUCCAAGAGUCAAUGAGUACAGGUGGACCAUGUUGGAAAAUAACUUUCAGUCAAGACUCAAGUUGAGACAAGAGCUCCAUUGAUGUUAAUUGUUAUUGAUCAAACUGAACAUGUUCUAGAGAUACUGGAGAAAAGAUUUGAGUGCAGUACAGACUCAUUUUCAAUUGAAAGCAAUUAAAAGAAGCAGAGAUAAAUACAAUCAGGAUUAGGUAUGAAGCAAAUUUCCCAAUGGCAAAUAAUGUAUCACUGUUGGAAAUAGAAGUGAAACUGAAGGAUGAAGAUUCUCAUGAAAAUUUGAUCUAUCCAGUGAAAACAGCAUUAAGAGAACAAUAGUAUGGAUUAUAACUUGGCUGGACUGGACAUGGCACAAACAGAAAAUAAAUGUAUUGAAUUUUCAAUCCAAAUUAUGGAUAUUAGAUUAUUCAAGUGAGUUACCCAAGUCUGUCAAAUAACUUAGAGAAAGUACUUGAACUUGGCACAUGUGAUGGCACAGAAAUCGUAAAAAAAGAAGGAUGAUGGCUUCAACUCUGAAGGAACAUCCCAAUCAUGUAUAACAUUUUACAAACAAACCUAAUCAAAGUUUAUAAAUGUUUAAAAAAAGUAAGAUGCACAAGCAAAUUUAUUUACAUACUACAGAUAUUAGAACUAAUG